This 589-nucleotide small RNA is filed under the name Pan troglodytes (chimpanzee). Its description in RNAcentral is "retained intron". Lineage: Eukaryota; Metazoa; Chordata; Mammalia; Primates; Hominidae. The record is from RNAcentral.
UUCUUUGCACUUAAGGUGAAUAUCACGUCUGGCUUACAUUACUCUGUUUUGUCUGUGUUUUAAUCAUCUUUUGGUGAGUGCUCUGCAGUUGGAUACUUGAGGACCAUUAGGGUGGUGAUAGUAAGAUGGAACAAAAGCUUGGAGUGCUGCUAAAGAAGUUGGAAUGGUAGAAUGAGUCUUGUCAUCUUCCUCAUGGCCUCACCUCUGCCCUCUUCCUGCACUCACCCUUUUCCCUUUUGUAGCUAAACCAUUUCCCAGGCUCAUUCCAGAUUGGGAGGAAGGACCGGCUAUGGCGGAACCUGUCACGUAUGCAGAGCCGCUUUGGCAAGAAGGAGUUCAGUUUCUUCCCCCAGUCCUUUAUCCUGCCCCAGGACGCCAAGCUCCUGCGCAAAGCGUGGGAGAGCAGCAGCCGCCAAAAGUGGAUUGUGAAGCCACCAGCAUCAGCUCGAGGCAUUGGCAUCCAGGUUAUUCACAAGUGGAGUCAGCUCCCCAAGCGAAGGCCCCUCCUGGUACAGAGGUAUCUACACAAACCCUACCUCAUCAGUGGCAGCAAGUUUGACCUGCGGAUCUAUGUUUACGUCACUUCCUA